UAGUCAUACGAUCGUCUCAAAGAUUAAGCCAUGCAUGUGUAAGUAUAAAUAGUUAACUUUGAAACUGCGAAUGGCUCAUUAUAUCAGUUAUAGUUUAUUUGAUGAAGAAUACUAAUUGGAUAACCGUAGUAAUUCUAGAGCUAAUACAUGUAUAAAGUCUUGUAGACUGCAUUUAUUAGAAUGAAAACCAUAGGUUUCGGCCUAUUCGUGAGUAAUAAUAACUAAUCAUAUCGUAUGCUUAAGUAGCGA
RNAcentral lists this ribosomal RNA (249 nucleotides) under Blastocystis sp. RNAcentral describes it as "partial small subunit ribosomal RNA". It matches the Rfam family "Eukaryotic small subunit ribosomal RNA", at positions 21 to 287 of the family's 1831-position model. Lineage: Eukaryota; Bigyra; Opalinata; Blastocystidae. The record is from RNAcentral.